UACAGAGGGUGCAAGCGUUGUUCGGAAUUAUUGGGCGUAAAGGGCGCGUAGGCGGCCACGCACGUCCGUUGUGAAAUCGCCCGGCUCAACUGGGCGGGGUCAGCGGAUACGGUGUGGCUCGAGCAAGCUAGGGGGCAAUGGAAUUCCCGGUGUAGUGGUGGAAUGCGUAGAUAUCGGGAGGAACACCAGUGGCGAAGGCGGUUGCCUGGAGCUUUGCUGACGCUGAGGCGCGAAAGCGUGGGGAGCGAGCCGG
This 253-nucleotide ribosomal RNA is filed under the name uncultured bacterium. RNAcentral's name for it is "partial 16S ribosomal RNA". It matches the Rfam family "Bacterial small subunit ribosomal RNA", at positions 524 to 776 of the family's 1533-position model. The record is from RNAcentral.